This is a long non-coding RNA of Triticum dicoccoides, 1561 nucleotides long. RefSeq lists it as uncharacterized. The record is from RefSeq and is a predicted model, not a curated record. Lineage: Eukaryota; Viridiplantae; Streptophyta; Magnoliopsida; Poales; Poaceae. The transcript has 6 exons.
UAGUGUUAUCUCUGAACUCUCCCCCAAACUGUAUCUCCUCCCUUGGAAGAAAUCCCCUCUCCCAAGUCUCGAUCUCAUCCCGAUUCCCCUCUCUGAUCCCUUAGUGCGUAGAUGAGUUCGUGACACACCCUCUCCCCAUCCCCUCACCUUCUCUCCCUAAACUAGGCGGGGCACCAGAACGGGCAGGCCAUGGCGCUUCCAGAUCCGUGGAGGAGCGCCGAGGUCGCGCGCCGCCCGCCGUGCGCUUUUGCUCCACGGCCGGCCGGCCGGCGUCUCCGCCACGGUCGUCCUCUUCCUCCUCUGCACCACCGCGUACAUCGACGGCGCCGCCGUGGGCGACCUCGAGUCUUUUCGCCUUCUCCUCGUCUGACGCGGAGGUGCUCUUACCCGACCUCGCCGCCGGGCCAAGGAAACCCCACCCUGCCGCGAGCUUUUCAUCCCUCAGGUCCUGCAAAAGCGUGCUCAAAGGCAUGCCACCUAGUUGUGGAAGAGCUGGUUAAGGAGUGGGAGCUCCCUUUUGCGGCCCAGCUCACAUCGACACACGCCCCCCUCCCUGCUUCCUCUGCGUCUCCGAUGGCUUCUUCUUCUUCGACUCCGGCAUAGGCAAAUGCAUGGUUACAUAAAGGGCCCUGCUGCUUCCUCCAGGAAUUUGGUCGUCUUGGUCCUUCACGGCAAGUUGGACUUUAUUUAAGCAAGAAUGCUAUCUGGGUACGUUACCAAAGCAGGACUGGAUACCGAGACAUGUACAAGGAGUACCGUGUCGCCACCCCCGUCAAGGGGAUGUACAGAGAUGGCUUCCCGCCACUGUGCCAGAUCCCCCUGCAUCCAGAUCAUCAAGACUGCCACUGUCCACUUCAGCAUCUGCAAGCGUGAUAACACUAAGCAGUUUCACAAGUCAGACAUCACGUUCCGCUGGUCUACCAGAAGGUCAGGCAACCAACCAGGGUCCCAGCAGAGGAGAGCAAGUUCCAUCCAUCCCAAGCCCUGGAGCAGGCGACGUGAACAUUAGAGACGGUUCAACGACGUCCGCAUCUGCAGGCAUGUCGGCCGACAAGAACAUGAACUACGCCGUCCUGACAUCAGCAUCUGCAGUCGUGUGAUGUUUGGCAUCGGCUACAACUCUGACGAUAGAUGCAAACGACGGUGACAAGUUACUACCAAACUUUGGCCCAAGAGUGGCAAGACACCAAGGAGAGAAGUACCACCGAUUGAAAGCAAGAUUUGGAAGCACUAUGUAAAAUGGCAAGACGAGCCUGACAUGCUACUUGUGUGAUCUGUAUGUUGGCCAAGUGCUUGCUACUCCCUCUGAUCCAAAAAAAGUGUCGUGGCUUCAACCAAGAUACUUUUUUUGGAUUGGAGGGGGUAAUUGAUAUGCCUGGUUUGUAACUGGGUUGGCUAUUGAACUAUUGCUGGCGAGUGCUUGUGCUUUGUUUGUUGGUUGCCGAAGUGUUGGAUAUUGAACUAGCUUUGAAAUUGGUCAUGAUUCAUGUAAUUUUCUCCUUGUUUAUCAUCCUUGAUCAUUAUAGAUUUAUAUACUGGGUCGGUGAUGAUUUUUCGUGUA